CGGAUAGUAUUCGGAAAGAAACUAUACCGUAGUCUUUUUUUGAUGAAAACACCAUAUGCAGCAAGCUUAUAUCCAGUAGGAAUAAGACUUUAUA
Non-coding RNA from Roseburia sp. 831b, 94 nucleotides. Lineage: Bacteria; Bacillati; Bacillota; Clostridia; Lachnospirales; Lachnospiraceae. The record is from Rfam.